Molecule: ribosomal RNA, 443 nt
Filed under: uncultured bacterium
Lineage: Bacteria
Description: partial 16S ribosomal RNA
Rfam family: Bacterial small subunit ribosomal RNA
Source: RNAcentral
CCUACGGGAGGCAGCAGUGGGGAAUAUUGGGCAAUGGGCGCAAGCCUGACCCAGCAACGCCGCGUGAAGGAAGAAGGCUUUCGGGUUGUAAACUUCUUUUCUCAGGGACGAAGCAAGUGACGGUACCUGAGGAAUAAGCCACGGCUAACUACGUGCCAGCAGCCGCGGUAAUACGUCGGUGGCAAGCGUUAUCCGGAUUUACUGGGUGUAAAGGGCGUGUAGGCGGGGACGCAAGUCAGAUGUGAAAACCACGGGCUCAACCUGUGGCCUGCAUUUGAAACUGUGUUUCUUGAGGACUGGAGAGGCAGACGGAAUUCGUGGUGUAGCGGUGAAAUGCGUAGAUAUUAGGAGGAACACCAGUGGCGAAGGCGGCCUGCUGGACCGCGACUGACGUUGAGGCUCGAAAGCGUGGGGAGCGAACAGGAUUAGAUACCCCAGUAGUC